GAUGAACGCUGGCGGCGUGCCUAAUACAUGCAAGUCGAGCGAACAGACGAGGAGCUUGCUCCUCUGACGUUAGCGGCGGACGGGUGAGUAACACGUGGAUAACCUACCUAUAAGACUGGGAUAACUUCGGGAAACCGGAGCUAAUACCGGAUAAUAUAUUGAACCGCAUGGUUCAAUAGUGAAAGACGGUUUUGCUGUCACUUAUAGAUGGAUCCGCGCCGUAUUAGCUAGUUGGUAAGGUAACGGCUUACCAAGGCAACGAUGCGUAGCCGACCUGAGAGGGUGAUCGGCCACACUGGAACUGAGACACGGUCCAGACUCCUACGGGAGGCAGCAGUAGGGAAUCUUCCGCAAUGGGCGAAAGCCUGACGGAGCAACGCCGCGUGAGUGAUGAAGGUCUUCGGAUCGUAAAACUCUGUUAUUAGGGAAGAACAAAUGUGUAAGUAACUAUACACGUCUUGACGGUACCUAAUCAGAAAGCCACGGCUAACUACGUG
Molecule: ribosomal RNA, 497 nt
Filed under: uncultured bacterium
Lineage: Bacteria
Description: partial 16S ribosomal RNA
Rfam family: Bacterial small subunit ribosomal RNA
Source: RNAcentral